This 1067-nucleotide long non-coding RNA is filed under the name Mytilus galloprovincialis (Mediterranean mussel). Lineage: Eukaryota; Metazoa; Mollusca; Bivalvia; Mytilida; Mytilidae. The record is from RNAcentral.
GUUUGCGUUACAACGCAAAGGUUUGCGUUAUAACGCAAAAGGUUUGCGUUAUAACGCAAAGGUUUGCGUUAUAUCGCAAAGGUUUGCGUUAUAACGCAAAUGUUUGCGUUAUAUCGCAAAGGUUUGCGUUAUAACGCAAAGGUUUGCGUUAUAACGCAAAUGUUUGCGUUAUAACGCAAACAUUUGUUUUAUCUUAUUUCGUUAUAACGCAAACAUAGGAAGAAAAAAUAAAAAAAAAAAUGUGUGGCGCUAAUACGCUUCCGUAGUACAGACUGUAAAUGACCUCUUAGAUAAACAUGGAAAUAUAUUAACAUAUAUUUUUUGUUUAAAUGUAUAAUAACAAAGGUGACUACAAGUCAUUGGAAUCAACGCUGAAAAAGAAAAACAACAGCCUAUUAAACCAUUGAGAAUGAAAAUUUGAAAUAGGGAAUGUGUCAAAGACACAACAAUCCGACCAGAUAGAAGAAAACAGCUAAAAGACACCAAUUGGUCUUCAACACAAAGAGCAAAUCUUGCACCCGCAGGCGGGUUCCAGCUGUCCCCUAAACAAAUAUGUGUACUCAUUAUUUAAAUUUAAAAAUCAUACAAGACUAUCAAAUGUCAGAGGUGCCUUUUAAACUUAUUAUUUUGUUCAAGACAGAAAAGGGCGCAAAGGACAUGUAUAUUUUUUUAAACCAAAGUACUAUAAAAUCUGGAUAGGUAUUAUGAAUAAAGUUGUAGAAAAAUGGGGAAAAACACAUUUGUGUUACCAAAGUCUAAAAAAAAACCACCAGGUUAUGUUGGUUUCAAUAUAUAAUGAUGCAUCAUAUCUUUGAUACAAACGCUAUACUUAUUAAAAUGAAACUUGUAAAUUGUUAUGUGUGUACAUUUUACAAGGAAGUGUCAGAAACUAUAAAACAUGUUCUUUGAAGUUGUCCUAUUGUAAUCGACAUUUGGCAAGAUCUGAGUUGUUGGAUUUUCCAUAAAGUUCAUAUCGAAAUUAAACUUAACUUGAACAUUGUCAUUUUUGGCCUCUAUGAAAAUUAUGAACUGAAUUUUAUUAAAAAAUAAAGUUAUUUUACCGACAA